RNAcentral lists this long non-coding RNA (411 nucleotides) under Mustela putorius furo (domestic ferret). RNAcentral's name for it is "lncRNA (ENSMPUG00000025987.1)". The record is from RNAcentral. Lineage: Eukaryota; Metazoa; Chordata; Mammalia; Carnivora; Mustelidae.
UUAUUUUUUUUGUAUCAGAACAGCAUGGUUCUUCAUGGUACUGCAGUGUUGAACAGGAAGGUCUUAAACCUGUAUAUGUGGUCUACCUUCUUAGAUCAUAGGACGACGCUACCAGGAGCUGACUGCCUAGAAUUCCAGAGCCUGCUUCCACACCACUUUUUGACCCCUUCCCUAGUGACACCUCCCUGAUGCAUCUCCCUGAUGCACAAUCAGUGCUUUUGAGAAUCACAUCUCCUGAGAUAAGAUACAGGAAAUAUAAGCAGUAAGUUGAUGCCUUUAAGACAUUUCCUGAGCUGGAACUACAAAACCUGCUGGAAGAGGAAGGAAAGUUUCCAGAACUAUGGUACUCAACAGGGUGCUAUGGUUCUCCUCAGGUGAGAAGACAUUACACAAUUAUCUGGAAACAUUUAG